CCUACGGGUGGCAGCAGUGAGGAAUAUUGGUCAAUGGACGCAAGUCUGAACCAGCCAUGCCGCGUGCAGGAAGACGGCUCUAUGAGUUGUAAACUGCUUUUGUACGAGGGUAAAUCCCGAUAAGUGUAUCGGGUUGCAAGUACCGUACGAAUAAGGAUCGGCUAACUCCGUUCCAGCCGCCGCGGUAAUACGGAGGAUUCAAGCGUUAUCCGGAUUGAUUGGGUUUAAAGGGUGCGUAGGCGGUUCGAUAAGUUAGAGGUGAAAUCCCGGGGCUCAACUCCGGAACUGCAUCUGAUACUGUCAGGCUAGAGUGUAGUAGAGGUAGGCGGAAUGUAUGGUGUAGCGGUGAAAUGCAUAGAGAUCAGACAGAACACCGAUGGCGAAGGCAGCUUACCAAACGACGACUGACGUUGAGGCACGAAAGCGUGGGGAGCAAACAGGAUUAGAUACCCCUGUAGUC
RNAcentral lists this ribosomal RNA (460 nucleotides) under uncultured bacterium. RNAcentral describes it as "partial 16S ribosomal RNA". It matches the Rfam family "Bacterial small subunit ribosomal RNA", at positions 338 to 795 of the family's 1533-position model. The record is from RNAcentral.